GGAGGAUUCAGUGGAUGGCUGUUCGCAAGAAAAGCUGGCGGUUUAUUCAGCAACAUAUAUCCACCGAAAUCUAAAAAUGGCACGGGCAGAAAUUCCGGAUGGAAAAGCGCCUUCGACACAAAG
Hypanus sabinus (Atlantic stingray) is the source of this 123-nucleotide long non-coding RNA. RefSeq lists it as uncharacterized. The transcript has 3 exons. NCBI's taxonomy places the organism in Eukaryota, Metazoa, Chordata, Chondrichthyes, Myliobatiformes, Dasyatidae. The record is from RefSeq and is a predicted model, not a curated record.